ACCUCUGUAGCUCUGUUGGUUAGACCGCUGCACCAGAAUCGCGGGGCAGCAGGUUCAAUUCCUGCUAGAGGGA
Non-coding RNA from Paramuricea clavata, 73 nucleotides. NCBI's taxonomy places the organism in Eukaryota, Metazoa, Cnidaria, Anthozoa, Malacalcyonacea, Plexauridae. The record is from the annotation of a GenBank genome assembly.